GACGAACGCUGGCGGCGUGCCUAAUACAUGCAAGUCGAACGAACUCUGGUAUUGAUUGGUGCUUGCAUCAUGAUUUACAUUUGAGUGAGUGGCGAACUGGUGAGUAACACGUGGGAAACCUGCCCAGAAGCGGGGGAUAACACCUGGAAACAGAUGCUAAUACCGCAUAACAACUUGGACCGCAUGGUCCGAGCUUGAAAGAUGGCUUCGGCUAUCACUUUUGGAUGGUCCCGCGGCGUAUUAGCUAGAUGGUGGGGUAACGGCUCACCAUGGCAAUGAUACGUAGCCGACCUGAGAGGGUAAUCGGCCACAUUGGGACUGAGACACGGCCCAAACUCCUACGGGAGGCAGCAGUAGGGAAUCUUCCACAAUGGACGAAAGUCUGAUGGAGCAACGCCGCGUGAGUGAAGAAGGGUUUCGGCUCGUAAAACUCUGUUGUUAAAGAAGAACAUAUCUGAGAGUAACUGUUCAGGUAUUGACGGUAUUUAACCAGAAAGCCACGGCUAACUACGUGCCAGCAGCCGCGGUAAUACGUAGGUGGCAAGCGUUGUCCGGAUUUAUUGGGCGUAAAGCGAGCGCAGGCGGUUUUUUAAGUCUGAUGUGAAAGCCUUCGGCUCAACCGAAGAAGUGCAUCGGAAACUGGGAAACUUGAGUGCAGAAGAGGACAGUGGAACUCCAUGUGUAGCGGUGAAAUGCGUAGAUAUAUGGAAGAACACCAGUGGCGAAGGCGGCUGUCUGGUCUGUAACUGACGCUGAGGCUCGAAAGUAUGGGUAGCAAACAGGAUUAGAUACCCUGGUAGUCCAUACCGUAAACGAUGAAUGCUAAGUGUUGGAGGGUUUCCGCCCUUCAGUGCUGCAGCUAACGCAUUAAGCAUUCCGCCUGGGGAGUACGGCCGCAAGGCUGAAACUCAAAGGAAUUGACGGGGGCCCGCACAAGCGGUGGAGCAUGUGGUUUAAUUCGAAGCUACGCGAAGAACCUUACCAGGUCUUGACAUACUAUGCAAAUCUAAGAGAUUAGACGUUCCCUUCGGGGACAUGGAUACAGGUGGUGCAUGGUUGUCGUCAGCUCGUGUCGUGAGAUGUUGGGUUAAGUCCCGCAACGAGCGCAACCCUUAUUAUCAGUUGCCAGCAUUAAGUUGGGCACUCUGGUGAGACUGCCGGUGACAAACCGGAGGAAGGUGGGGAUGACGUCAAAUCAUCAUGCCCCUUAUGACCUGGGCUACACACGUGCUACAAUGGAUGGUACAACGAGUUGCGAACUCGCGAGAGUAAGCUAAUCUCUUAAAGCCAUUCUCAGUUCGGAUUGUAGGCUGCAACUCGCCUACAUGAAGUCGGAAUCGCUAGUAAUCGCGGAUCAGCAUGCCGCGGUGAAUACGUUCCCGGGCCUUGUACACACCGCCCGUCACACCAUGAGAGUUUGUAACACCCAAAGUCGGUGGGGUAACCUUUUAGGAACCAGCCGCCUAAGGUGGGACAGAUGAUUAGGGUGAAGUCGUACAAA
This 1501-nucleotide ribosomal RNA is filed under the name Lactiplantibacillus plantarum. RNAcentral's name for it is "partial 16S ribosomal RNA". It matches the Rfam family "Bacterial small subunit ribosomal RNA". The record is from RNAcentral. Lineage: Bacteria; Bacillati; Bacillota; Bacilli; Lactobacillales; Lactobacillaceae.